Long non-coding RNA from Perognathus longimembris pacificus (Pacific pocket mouse), 349 nucleotides. RefSeq lists it as uncharacterized. Lineage: Eukaryota; Metazoa; Chordata; Mammalia; Rodentia; Heteromyidae. The transcript is spliced from 3 exons. The record is from RefSeq and is a predicted model, not a curated record.
GGCCCUGAGUCCAAGCCCAGGACUGGCAAAAAAAAAAAAAAAAAAGAAAUAGUAUAAGAAAAGUGAGGCAUCUACUCAGCUACCAACCGCAGCAUGGCUCUCCAAGAGGAUAAAGAAAAUGAGCAAGUUUAGACAAAGCAGUAAGGAGCUGAAGGAUGCAGAGAUGGGGCAGGGAGCUAUACCUGUUCCUAUCACCAGCCUCCAUGGAGUGACCACCUACUAAGAGCAGGACCUUCCUUGAGGAAAGGGAAGCUGGCAACUGCUGCAGCUCAGGUGGCUUUGUGCACAACCCAGGGCCUGCUCUUGGCCAUGACCACAGAGCAGGGGAACCUGAGUGGACACAAAACCA